This 1600-nucleotide ribosomal RNA is filed under the name Salmonella enterica. Its description in RNAcentral is "partial 23S ribosomal RNA". It matches the Rfam family "Bacterial large subunit ribosomal RNA", at positions 657 to 2238 of the family's 2925-position model. Lineage: Bacteria; Pseudomonadati; Pseudomonadota; Gammaproteobacteria; Enterobacterales; Enterobacteriaceae. The record is from RNAcentral.
AUAGGGGAGCCGGAGGGAAACCGAGUCUUAACCGGGCGUUAAGUUGCAGGGUAUAGACCCGAAACCCGGUGAUCUAGCCAUGGGCAGGUUGAAGGUUGGGUAACACUAACUGGAGGACCGAACCGACUAAUGUUGAAAAAUUAGCGGAUGACCUGUGGCUGGGGGUGAAAGGCCAAUCAAACCGGGAGAUAGCUGGUUCUCCCCGAAAGCUAUUUAGGUAGCGCCUCGUGAACUCAUCUCCGGGGGUAGAGCACUGUUUCGGCUAGGGGGCCAUCCCGGCUUACCAACCCGAUGCAAACUGCGAAUACCGGAGAAUGUUAUCACGGGAGACACACGGCGGGUGCUAACGUCCGUCGUGAAGAGGGAAACAACCCAGACCGCCAGCUAAGGUCCCAAAGUCAUGGUUAAGUGGGAAACGAUGUGGGAAGGCCCAGACAGCCAGGAUGUUGGCUUAGAAGCAGCCAUCAUUUAAAGAAAGCGUAAUAGCUCACUGGUCGAGUCGGCCUGCGCGGAAGAUGUAACGGGGCUAAACCAUGCACCGAAGCUGCGGCAGCGACACUGUGUGUUGUUGGGUAGGGGAGCGUUCUGUAAGCCUGUGAAGGUGGCCUGUGAGGGUUGCUGGAGGUAUCAGAAGUGCGAAUGCUGACAUAAGUAACGAUAAAGCGGGUGAAAAGCCCGCUCGCCGGAAGACCAAGGGUUCCUGUCCAACGUUAAUCGGGGCAGGGUGAGUCGACCCCUAAGGCGAGGCCGAAAGGCGUAGUCGAUGGGAAACGGGUUAAUAUUCCCGUACUUGGUGUUACUGCGAAGGGGGGACGGAGAAGGCUAUGUUGGCCGGGCGACGGUUGUCCCGGUUUAAGCGUGUAGGUGUGUGUUCCAGGUAAAUCCGGUUCACUUUAACACUGAGGCGUGAUGACGAGGCACUACGGUGCUGAAGCAACAAAUGCCCUGCUUCCAGGAAAAGCCUCUAAGCAUCAGGUAACACGAAAUCGUACCCCAAACCGACACAGGUGGUCAGGUAGAGAAUACCAAGGCGCUUGAGAGAACUCGGGUGAAGGAACUAGGCAAAAUGGUGCCGUAACUUCGGGAGAAGGCACGCUGACACGUAGGUGAAGUGAUUUACUCAUGGAGCUGAAGUCAGUCGAAGAUACCAGCUGGCUGCAACUGUUUAUUAAAAACACAGCACUGUGCAAACACGAAAGUGGACGUAUACGGUGUGACGCCUGCCCGGUGCCGGAAGGUUAAUUGAUGGGGUCAGCGCAAGCGAAGCUCCUGAUCGAAGCCCCGGUAAACGGCGGCCGUAACUAUAACGGUCCUAAGGUAGCGAAAUUCCUUGUCGGGUAAGUUCCGACCUGCACGAAUGGCGUAAUGAUGGCCAGGCUGUCUCCACCCGAGACUCAGUGAAAUUGAACUCGCUGUGAAGAUGCAGUGUACCCGCGGCAAGACGGAAAGACCCCGUGAACCUUUACUAUAGCUUGACACUGAACAUUGAGCCUUGAUGUGUAGGAUAGGUGGGAGGCUUUGAAGUGUGGACGCCAGUCUGCAUGGAGCCGACCUUGAAAUACCACCCUUUAAUGUUUGAUGUUCUAACGUGGACCCGUUA